AGGGAAUCUGGUGCAACUCCAGAGCUGGCCCGCAACUGUAACCGGGGAGUCUACCUCAUAGGUCACGGCGUCUUUGACGCUGGAAGGCGAGGAUAGAUGCUGAUUCGGAAGUCAGGAUACCU
This 122-nucleotide non-coding RNA is filed under the name Ferrithrix thermotolerans DSM 19514. The record is from RNAcentral. Lineage: Bacteria; Bacillati; Actinomycetota; Acidimicrobiia; Acidimicrobiales; Acidimicrobiaceae.